AGAAUCAACGCUGGCGGCGUGCCUAACACAUGCAAGUCGAACGCGAAAGUCCCGCAAGGGAUGAGUAGAGUGGCAAACGGGUGAGUAACACGUGGGUGACCUGCCUUCGAGCGGGGGAUAACGUCCCGAAGGGGACGCUAAUACCGCAUGACAUCCUGCCUUUGAAGAGGUGGAGAUCAAAGCUGGGGAUCGCAAGACCUAGCACUUGAAGAGGGCCCGCGUCUGAUUAGCUAGUUGGUGGGUAACGGCUCACCAAGGCAACGAUCAGUA
This 270-nucleotide ribosomal RNA is filed under the name uncultured soil bacterium. Its description in RNAcentral is "partial 16S ribosomal RNA". It matches the Rfam family "Bacterial small subunit ribosomal RNA", at positions 26 to 285 of the family's 1533-position model. The record is from RNAcentral.